This 457-nucleotide ribosomal RNA is filed under the name uncultured bacterium. RNAcentral's name for it is "bacterial SSU rRNA". It matches the Rfam family "Bacterial small subunit ribosomal RNA", at positions 28 to 526 of the family's 1533-position model. The record is from RNAcentral.
GAUGAACGCUGGCGGUAUGCUUUACACAUGCAAGUCGUACGGGAGUUUUUAACUCAAGUGGCGGACGGGUGAGUAACACGUAAGAAUUUGCCUUUAGGAGAGGGAUAACAACUGGAAACGGUUGCUAAUACCCCAUAUGCUUUUGAGUGAAAUGGUUUUUCCGCCUAAAGAGAAGCUUGCGGCUGAUUAGCUUGUUGGUGAGGUAAUAGCUCACCAAGGCGACGAUCAGUAUCUGGUUUGAGAGGACGAUCAGACACACUGGAACUGAGACACGGUCCAGACUCCUACGGGAGGCAGCAGUAGGGAAUUUUCCGCAAUGGGCGAAAGCCUGACGGAGCAAUACCGCGUGAGGGAUGACGGCCUAUGGGUUGUAAACCUCUUUUUUCAGGGAGGAAUAAAUGACGUGUACCUGAAGAAUAAGCAUCGGCUAACUCCGUGCCAGCCGCCGCCGUAACAC